This 939-nucleotide ribosomal RNA is filed under the name Meripilus sanguinolentus. RNAcentral describes it as "Rigidoporus sanguinolentus partial large subunit ribosomal RNA". The record is from RNAcentral. Lineage: Eukaryota; Fungi; Basidiomycota; Agaricomycetes; Polyporales; Meripilaceae.
ACCCGGGGAGAAACAAUUGCAUAUCAAUAAGCGGAGGAAAAGAAACUAACAAGGAUUCCCCUAGUAACUGCGAGUGAAGCGGGAAAAGCUCAAAUUUAAAAUCUGGCAGUCUUUGAUUGUCCGAGUUGUAAUCUGGAGAAGUGCUUUCCGCGCCGGACCGUGUACAAGUCUCUUGGAAUAGAGCGUCAUAGAGGGUGAGAAUCCCGUCUUUGACACGGACUACCGGUGCUUUGUGAUGCGCUUUCAAAGAGUCGAGUUGUUUGGGAAUGCAGCUCAAAAUGGGUGGUAAAUUCCAUCUAAAGCUAAAUAUUGGCGAGAGACCGAUAGYGAACAAGUACCGUGAGGGAAAGAUGAAAAGCACUUUGGAAAGAGAGUUAAACAGUACGUGAAAUUGCUGAAAGGGAAACACUUGAAGUCAGUCGCGUUGUUCAGAACUCAGCCUGGCCUUGGCCUGGUGCAUUUUCUGAACGACGGGCCAGCAUCAAUUUUGACUGUUGGAUAAAGGUUAGGGAAAUGUGGCUUCUUCGGGAGUGUUAUAGUCCUUGGCUGCAUACAAUGGUUGGGAUUGAGGAACUCAGCAUGCCUUUAUGGUCGGGGUUCGCCCACGUUCAUGCUUAGGAUGCUGGCGUAAUGGCUUUAAAUGACCCGUCUUGAAACACGGACCAAGGAGUCUAACAUGCCUGCAAGUGUUUGGGUGGAAAACCCGAGCGCGCAAUGAAAGUGAAAGUUGGGAUCCCUGUCGUGGGGAGCACCGACGCCCGGACCAGACCUUCUGUGACGGAUCCGCGGUGGAGCAUGUAUGUUGGGACCCGAAAGAUGGUGAACUAUGCCUGAAUAGGGUGAAGCCAGAGGAAACUCUGGUGGAGGCUCGUAGCGAUUCUGACGUGCAAAUCGAUCGUCAAAUUUGGGUAUAGGGGCGAAAGACUAAUCGAACCUUGC